GUUGUUCCUAUGUCAUGAAACGCGUCGAGACGAAUUGGGCGAAACAAAACAAAUUGUUGCUAAUUAUAUUUAUAUUCCUGUGAUUUAAAAUACCAAAUGGAACUUGGUAUCUUAUAUGCAUAUUUCAAUAGCUACUGUCAAUCAUUCCAACAAGUUGACUUAGUGCUCAGUCAAUUACCAUCUAUUUGAUCCUCAUACUGUCAAAAGCCUAAAACUAAUGUUUGAAGUUCACAUAAAGUGGAAUACAAAUGUGAGGAGAUAAGGUAUUUUCCCACUACUGCUACCACACCAACCACACUACGUCAAAUGCCUUACUAAAUCAUCACCCAAAUGAUAAAGGAAAUUUAUCCCACCCGAGGAGUAAUGCUGUUGGUUGCUGUGAAUUCCAUUUAUACGGUUUUUUCAUCAUGAACAUUUCAAUGUGCUUCUAAGAAAAGAGCACGCAAGUUCCCCACGGACAUCCUUGAGCUAAUGCUGGAUUUUGUCCAUGACAGAAGAGGGACUUCCAUCCUGCUCCAUCCUUAUCUUCAAGACGUACACUCAUCCAGCUUCACUGCUUCAGUUCUUCUUUGCUGCUUCACUGGCGAGUUAGUUCACUUCAGUUGCUUUGACACCUGCAGUCACUGACAACGGGAUUAUGGCCAGGUAAUGCAGCGGAAACGUCGAGAAGAGGGACACCAAAACGUCGCCGGUAUCUCCAAAAUGUCAGCGCGGAUCAUCAUUUGUUGUUGGUAAUGUUUGUGUUUGUUAACCCAUUGUCUGCCACGCCUUUGUUCCCCCCUACCUCCUUAGCACGGGCUUCCUAGAGGCCUCCUAAUAGCGUGCAUUCCAUCUUCCCCUGUCACCCCGGACUUGUCAGCAAUGGCAAGUCCCACCUUGGUCAUGGAUCCUUCAGACAUGGCGAGUAGAGAGUAGAGAACAACCUACGGGUUGUAUGGCGUGGCAGACAACGGGUUAACUUAAGUGUAUGUAUGUAUGUAUGUGAUUGUAAAAUGUGGUGGAAUUGUGGGUGGAGGUGGGACAAACAAGCAAUUCCUAUUCGAAGUUGUGUUUGCUGUGACUUAUAACUUGUAACAAAAUAAUGUUUAGAGUUGAAAAUAUAUUGAUCCAACUGCUAAAGUUUA
Long non-coding RNA from Daphnia pulex (common water flea), 1124 nucleotides. RefSeq lists it as uncharacterized. The record is from RefSeq and is a predicted model, not a curated record. The transcript is spliced from 5 exons. Lineage: Eukaryota; Metazoa; Arthropoda; Branchiopoda; Diplostraca; Daphniidae.